UAACAUGUGGGAACCUCGUGUUCUACUCAGU
This 31-nucleotide non-coding RNA is filed under the name Rattus norvegicus (Norway rat). The record is from RNAcentral. Lineage: Eukaryota; Metazoa; Chordata; Mammalia; Rodentia; Muridae.